This 1181-nucleotide ribosomal RNA is filed under the name metagenome. RNAcentral's name for it is "SSU rRNA". It matches the Rfam family "Eukaryotic small subunit ribosomal RNA", at positions 558 to 1760 of the family's 1831-position model. The record is from RNAcentral.
AGUCUGGUGCCAGCAGCCGCGGUAAUUCCAGCUCCACAAGUGUAUUCCUAUAUUGUUGCGGUUAAAAAGCUCGUAGUUGGAUCUGAGUGCUUAGCGGGUGGUACAGUGUUUCACUGUCACUGCUUCGCGGCACAUAACCGUCGACUGGCUGCUGUUGUUGCCUUCACCGGUGACGGCAGUUAGCUAUCGACAUAUUUUACUUUGAACAAAUCAGAGUGCUCAAAACAGGCGUUUCGCUUGUAUGUUUUUGCAUGGAAUAAUAGAAUAGGACCUUGGGUCUAUUUUGUUGGUUUUCGGAAUCAAGGUAAUGAUUAAGAGGGACAGACGGGGGCAUUCGUACUGCAACGGGAGAGGUGAAAUUCUUGGAUCGUUGCAAGACGAACUACUGCGAAAGCAUUUGCCAAGAAUGUUUUCAUUAAUCAAGAACGAAAGUAACGGGUUCGAAGGCUAUCAGAUACCGCCCUAGUCGUUACCGUAAACGAUUGUAACCGGGAGCUAGCAGGCGCUUUACUAUGGCUCUGCUAGAACCCACCCGGAAACGAAGAGUUUUCGAUAUCCGGGGGAAGUAUACUUGCAAUGUGAAACUUAAAGGAAUUGACGGAAGGGCACCACCAGGGGUGGAGCCUGCGGCUUAAUUUGACCCAACACGGGGAAACUCAUCCGGUCCGGACACCGUAAGGAUUGACAGAUUGAGAGCUCUUUCUUGAUUUGGUGGGCAGUGGUGCAUGGCCGUUCUUAGCUGGUGUAGUGAUUUGUCUGGUUUAUUCCGAUAACGAACGAGACUCUAGCCUACUAACUAGUUAUGCGAUCUUCUUGUCGUAUUAACUUCUUAGAGGGACAAGCGGUGCUCAGCCGCAUGAAAAAGAGCAAUAACAGGUCUGUGAUGCCCUUCGAUGUUCGGAGCUGCACGCGCGCUACACUGUAGAAUGCAACGUGCUAGCUUGCCUCGCUCGCAAGAGUGGGGUAAUCGGUUGAAAUUUCUACGUGAUUGAGAUAGGGACUUGUAAUUAUUUCCCUUGAACGAGGAACCCCUAGUAAGUGCAGGUCAUCAGCUUGUGCUGAUUACGUCCCUGCCCUUUGUACACACCGCCCGUCGCUGCCCGGAACUGAGCCAUUUCGAGAAAAAUGGGGACUGAUUGCUUGUGAGCACCCAAGUGCUUCUUGCAGUCGGAAACCAUCUU